CAAUCGGCCCUUUUCAGAGCCAACAAAUGUAUCAAAGAAUUAAUUG
This is a non-coding RNA of Aedes aegypti (yellow fever mosquito), 46 nucleotides long. Lineage: Eukaryota; Metazoa; Arthropoda; Insecta; Diptera; Culicidae. The record is from Rfam.